Molecule: ribosomal RNA, 214 nt
Filed under: Blautia obeum
Lineage: Bacteria; Bacillati; Bacillota; Clostridia; Lachnospirales; Lachnospiraceae
Description: partial 16S ribosomal RNA
Rfam family: Bacterial small subunit ribosomal RNA
Source: RNAcentral
UUUAUCAGAGAGUUUGAUCCUGGCUCAGGAUGAACGCUGGCGGCGUGCUUAACACAUGCAAGUCGAACGGGAAACCUUUUAUUGAAGCUUCGGCAGAUUUAGCUGGUUUCUAGUGGCGGACGGGUGAGUAACGCGUGGGUAACCUGCCUUAUACAGGGGGAUAACAACCAGAAAUGGUUGCUAAUACCGCAUAAGCGCACAGGACCGCAUGGUC